UCUCGGGACCUAAGGCGAGGCCGACAGGCGUAGUCGAUGGACAACGGGUUGAUAUUCCCGUACCGGCAUUAACACGACCCGACCGAGGUCACUGAUGCUAAAACCGAGAAGCUAGGCGGCCUUCGGGCCAAGUAGUGGAUCUGUUGACCCGAGGUGGUAUUAGGUGCACUAAGGAGUGACGCAGGAGGGCAGUCCAUCCGCGGCGAUGGUAGGCGCAAGCUGAUCCGCGGGCAAGGUGGUAGGGCGAGGCAUAGGCAAAUCCGUGUCUCAUAUAGCCUGAGAACCGAGGCGGACCCGUUCAGGGGAAGUGGAUGAUCCCAUGCUGCCAAGAAAAACUUCGUAGUGAGUGUUAGAGCCGCCCGUACCCCAAACCGACACAGGUGAUCAGGUAGAGAAUACCAAGGCGAUCGAGUGAACCAUGGUUAAGGAACUCGGCAAAAUGCCCCCGUAACUUCGGGAGAAGGGGGGCCGGAUGCGUUACAUGGCUUGCCCAUGGAAGCGUUGAUGGCCGCAGAGACCAGGCCCAAGCGACUGUUUACUAAAAACACAGGUCCGUGCGAAGAAGUAAUUCGAUGUAUACGGACUGACGCCUGCCCGGUGCUGGAACGUUAAGGGGACAGGUUAGCUGGUUUAGGCCGGCGAAGCUUUGAACUUAAGCGCCAGUAAACGGCGGUGGUAACUAUAACCAUCCUAAGGUAGCGAAAUUCCUUGUCGGGUAAGUUCCGACCUGCACGAAUGGCGUAACGACUUGGGCGCUGUCUCAACCAUGGACUCGGCGAAAUUGCAUUACGAGUAAAGAUGCUCGUUACGCGCAGCAGGACGGAAAGACCCCGGGACCUUUACUACAACUUGGUAUUGGUGGUCGGUACAACUUGUGUAGGAUAGGUGGGAGACUGUGAAAUCCGGACGCCAGUUCGGGUGGAGUCAUCGUUGAAAUACCACUCUGGUUGUUCUGGCUGUCUAACUUCGGUCCAUUAUCUGGAUCAGGGACAGUGCCUGGUGGGUAGUUUGACUGGGGCGGUCGCCUCCUAAAAGGUAACGGAGGCGCUCAAAGGUUCCCUCAGCCUGGUUGGCAAUCAGGUGUCGAGUGUAAGUGCACAAGGGAGCUUGACUGUGAGACAGACAUGUCGAGCAGGGACGAAAGUCGGAACUAGUGAUCCGGCGGUGGCAUGUGGGAGCACCGUCGCUCAACGGAUAAAAGGUACCCCGGGGAUAACAGGCUGAUCUUCCCCAAGAGUCCAUAUCGACGGGAUGGUUUGGCACCUCGAUGUCGGCUCGUCGCAUCCUGGGGCUGG
RNAcentral lists this ribosomal RNA (1295 nucleotides) under metagenome. RNAcentral describes it as "bacterial LSU rRNA". It matches the Rfam family "Bacterial large subunit ribosomal RNA", at positions 1379 to 2556 of the family's 2925-position model. The record is from RNAcentral.